ACGUAGGGUGCGGGCGUUAAUCGGAAUUACUGGGCGUAAAGCGUGCGCAGGCGGUUCGUUAAGUUCGAUGUGAAAGCCCCCGGCUCAACCGGGGAACAGCAGGGCGAACUGCCGGUCUCGAGGCAUGUAAGGGCGGGUGGAACAGUAGGUGGAGCGGUGAAAUGCUUAGAUAUCUACUGGAACGCCGAUGGGGAAGCCGACCCGCUGGGCAUGUCCUGACGCUGAGGCACGAAAGCGUGGGGAGCAAACAGGA
This 253-nucleotide ribosomal RNA is filed under the name uncultured prokaryote. RNAcentral's name for it is "partial 16S ribosomal RNA". It matches the Rfam family "Bacterial small subunit ribosomal RNA", at positions 525 to 777 of the family's 1533-position model. The record is from RNAcentral.